AGGUUAUGCUGGGAAGGGAAAGCGAGGUCGGGGCGGACCCGAGAUAGCUAAAGGGUCACGCCCCUUUCCUAGGUUCCACCUCGAGGAGGUUCCCAAAGUCACCCCAAUGACCAGACACACAAGGCAGUACAAGUGCGGUGCAGGCUGCUGACUGGGACACAGAAGAUCAGUAAUUUAUAACUGCUGGUUUCUCUCACCUCUCCCGACUUGGGACAACGUACAGUAAGUACGGUACAGGAAAAAGUUUUCCUCGUUCUCUUCCUCUCUCUAUCCACAGGCUGCUGACUGGGAAACAGAAAUCAGUUAUUUAUAACUGCUGGUUUCGCUCACCUCUCCCCACUUGGGAUGACGUACAGCAAGUACGGUGCAGGAAAAGGUUUCCUCGUGCUCUUUCCCUCUCUCCAUAGGCUGCGGACUGGGACACAAAGAUCAGUUAUUCGGACUGCUGAUUUCUCUCACCUUUCCAGCUUGAGACGACGUACAGUAAGUACGGUGCAGGUAAGGUUUUCUCGUUCUCUUUCUCUCGCUUUCUCUCCACAGGCUGCGGGAGCAUAGGCCAGGUAAUA
This is a non-coding RNA of Paramisgurnus dabryanus, 566 nucleotides long. The record is from RefSeq and is a predicted model, not a curated record. Lineage: Eukaryota; Metazoa; Chordata; Actinopteri; Cypriniformes; Cobitidae.